GCCAGUGUAGCAUAGUGGUUUCAGUGUUGGACUUUGACUCUGGUGACCAGGGUUGAAUUCCCUGCUCAGCCA
Phrynosoma platyrhinos (Desert horned lizard) is the source of this 72-nucleotide non-coding RNA. The record is from the annotation of a GenBank genome assembly. Lineage: Eukaryota; Metazoa; Chordata; Lepidosauria; Squamata; Phrynosomatidae.